RNAcentral lists this ribosomal RNA (406 nucleotides) under uncultured bacterium. RNAcentral's name for it is "partial 16S ribosomal RNA". It matches the Rfam family "Bacterial small subunit ribosomal RNA", at positions 29 to 526 of the family's 1533-position model. The record is from RNAcentral.
AUUGAACGCUGGCGGCAGGCCUAACACAUGCAAGUCGAACGAGUGGCGGACGGGUGAGUAAUGUCUGGGAAACUGCCUGAUGGAGGGGGAUAACUACUGGAAACGGUAGCUAAUACCGCAUACCAUCGGAUGUGCCCAGAUGGGAUUAGCUAGUAGGGGGGGUAAAGGCUCACCUAGGCGACGAUCCCUAGCUGGUCUGUGAGGAUGACCAGCCAUACUGGAACUGAGCAACGGUCCAGCCUCCGACGGGAGGCAGAAGUGGGGAAUAUUGCACAAUGGGCGCAAGCCUGAUGCAGCCAGGCGGCGUGUAUGAAGAAGGCCUUCGGGUGGUAAAGUACGUUCAGCGGGGAGGCGUUACCCGCAGAAGAAGCACCGGCUAACUCCGUGCCAGCAGCCGCGGUAAUUC